Molecule: unclassified non-coding RNA, 341 nt
Filed under: soil metagenome
Description: partial contains 5.8S ribosomal RNA, internal transcribed spacer 2, and large subunit ribosomal RNA
Rfam family: 5.8S ribosomal RNA (bases 1-120)
Source: RNAcentral
GAUGAAGAACGUAGCGAAAUGCGAUAAGUAGUGUGAAUUGCAGAAUUCAGUGAAUCAUCGAAUCUUUCAACGCACAUUGCGCCCUUUGGUAUUCCAAAGGGCAUGCCUGUUCGAGCGUCAUUUGUACCCUCAAGCUUUGCUUGGUGUUGGGCGUCUUGUCUCUAGCUUUGCUGGAGACUCGCCUUAAAGUAAUUGGCAGCCGGCCUACUGGUUUCGGAGCGCAGCACAAGUCGCACUCUCUAUCAGCAAAGGUCUAGCAUCCAUUAAGCCUUUUUUUCAACUUUUGACCUCGGAUCAGGUAGGGAUACCCGCUGAACUUAAGCAUAUCAAUAAGCGGAGGA